RNAcentral lists this ribosomal RNA (887 nucleotides) under Virgibacillus sp. Its description in RNAcentral is "bacterial SSU rRNA". It matches the Rfam family "Bacterial small subunit ribosomal RNA", at positions 36 to 906 of the family's 1533-position model. The record is from RNAcentral. Lineage: Bacteria; Bacillati; Bacillota; Bacilli; Caryophanales; Bacillaceae.
CUGCAGUCGAGCGCGGGAAGCAGGCAGAUCCUCUUCGGAGGUGACGCUUGUGGAACGAGCGGCGGACGGGUGAGUAACACGUGGGCAACCUGCCUGUAAGAUUGGGAUAACCCCGGGAAACCGGGGCUAAUACCGGAUAAUACUUUUCGUUGCAUAACGAGAAGUUGAAAGGCGGCUUUUAGCUGUCACUUACAGAUGGGCCCGCGGCGCAUUAGCUAGUUGGUAAGGUAACGGCUUACCAAGGCGACGAUGCGUAGCCGACCUGAGAGGGUGAUCGGCCACACUGGGACUGAGACACGGCCCAGACUCCUACGGGAGGCAGCAGUAGGGAAUCUUCCGCAAUGGACGAAAGUCUGACGGAGCAACGCCGCGUGAGUGAUGAAGGUUUUCGGAUCGUAAAACUCUGUUGUCAGGGAAGAACAAGUGCCGUUCAAAUAGGGCGGCACCUUGACGGUACCUGACCAGAAAGCCCCGGCUAACUACGUGCCAGCAGCCGCGGUAAUACGUAGGGGGCAAGCGUUGUCCGGAAUUAUUGGGCGUAAAGCGCGCGCAGGCGGUCCUUUAAGUCUGAUGUGAAAGCCCACGGCUUAACCGUGGAGGGCCAUUGGAAACUGGAGGACUUGAGUACAGAAGAGGAGAGUGGAAUUCCACGUGUAGCGGUGAAAUGCGUAGAGAUGUGGAGGAACACCAGUGGCGAAGGCGACUCUCUGGUCUGUAACUGACGCUGAGGUGCGAAAGCGUGGGGAGCGAACAGGAUUAGAUACCCUGGUAGUCCACGCCGUAAACGAUGAGUGCUAGGUGUUAGGGGGGUUUCCGCCCCUUAGUGCUGAAGUUAACGCAUUAAGCACUCCGCCUGGGGAGUACGGCCGCAAGGCUGAAACUCAAAA